Molecule: non-coding RNA, 686 nt
Organism: Anoplopoma fimbria (sablefish)
Lineage: Eukaryota; Metazoa; Chordata; Actinopteri; Perciformes; Anoplopomatidae
Source: the annotation of a RefSeq genome assembly
AUGGUUCAGUUUAACCUGAAAAAAGGUGAGUUUUCAGUGGAUAGAUGCUUGUUCACAGUGCAGGAGGUUUUUGUACGGCCACUUAAUGAGUUUGUAUCACUGUGGUGGACUUUUGGUGGAGGAACCAAACUCAUCAUUAACUCUGGCCCCAUGGUCAGGCCCUCCGUCUCUCUGCUUCCCCCCUCCUCUGAGCAGCUCUCCGGGGGCUCGGCCACGCUGGCCUGCCUUCUGUCCGGCUACUCUCCUCAGGGAGCCGUGGUGAGCUGGCAGGUGGACGGCACAGAGGUGACAGAGGGAGUCCUGAGCAGCUCAGAGGAGGAGAAGAGCGGACGCUACAGCAGCAGCAGCACCCUGAACCUGAGCCAGGAGCGCUGGAUGCAAGGAGAGCUGUACUCCUGCAGGGUCCUCCAUCAUGACCACAGCCAGACCCAGUCCCUCCACAGGAGCCAGUGUAAGGGCUAGAGGAGCUGGCUGAAGCCCAGGACGGGAGCUCUGUGUGGGGGAGCAGCAGGAACACACCUGCUGCUCUGAUCAAUAUGAGUUUGAGUCUUUGUAAACUAAAGCUUUGUGUGACGGAGAACAACAAUUUAGAGAUUAAAGUUCAGCAGCUAGAUGUGAGUGUGUUUAAUAACUGUCAUGUUGAUGAUUGAUGUUCUUGCUAAUAAAGCUUUCACUGAUGAAUUACA